UUGGUGUAUUUAUACAUAACAAGGAAUUAGGUAAAAGCCUAAGCUAACCCAGUAGCCGUGAUGCUGAUGAAAGUUCAUUAAGUCACUGAGAAAUCGGGAAGACGAAUUAGUAAAGUGAAGCAGAGCCGGAAGACUUACCAAGUAAAGAA
This 149-nucleotide non-coding RNA is filed under the name human gut metagenome. The record is from RNAcentral.